GAGCACGUAGGUGGGUUUGUAAGUCAGAUGUGUAAGCCUUCUGUUCAACGGAAGAAUUGCAUCUGAAACUGCGAGUCUUGAGUGUAGGAGGGGAGAAUGGAACUUCUGGUGGAGCGGUGAAAUGCGUAGAUAUCAGAAGGAACUCCGGCGGCGAAAGCGAUUCUCUGGCCUAUUACUGACACUCAGUGUGCGAAAGCUAGGGGAGCAAACGGGAUUAGAUACCCCGGUAGUCCUAGCCGUAAACGAUGGGCACUAAGUAGAGGGGUUUU
Molecule: ribosomal RNA, 269 nt
Filed under: uncultured Planctomycetales bacterium
Lineage: Bacteria; Pseudomonadati; Planctomycetota; Planctomycetia; Planctomycetales
Description: partial 16S ribosomal RNA
Rfam family: Bacterial small subunit ribosomal RNA
Source: RNAcentral